CCAUACAAAGUUCUAAGACACGUGGACUGAGAUUCACUGUAAUGAUGGACAUCUGCUCAUGGGCAGAAUAAGGGGUGAGUUUGGACCAUACAGAGUUCUGGGAAAUUUACCACAAUGACGGACAUCUGCUCAUGGACAGAAUAAGGGGUGCGUUUGGACCAUACAGAGUUCUGGGAAAUUUACCACAAUGACGGACAUCUGCUCAUG
This is a long non-coding RNA of Sinocyclocheilus rhinocerous, 207 nucleotides long. RefSeq lists it as uncharacterized. The transcript is spliced from 3 exons. NCBI's taxonomy places the organism in Eukaryota, Metazoa, Chordata, Actinopteri, Cypriniformes, Cyprinidae. The record is from RefSeq and is a predicted model, not a curated record.